This 24-nucleotide microRNA is filed under the name Lonicera japonica. RNAcentral describes it as "u3868172". Lineage: Eukaryota; Viridiplantae; Streptophyta; Magnoliopsida; Dipsacales; Caprifoliaceae. The record is from RNAcentral.
AAAUGCAUUUAGCACCCCCUGGAC